Molecule: non-coding RNA, 74 nt
Organism: Camelus ferus (Wild Bactrian camel)
Lineage: Eukaryota; Metazoa; Chordata; Mammalia; Artiodactyla; Camelidae
Source: Rfam
GGAAGGAUACAGCUCAGAGGUAGAGUGCAUGCCUAGCAUGCACGAGGUCCUGGGUUCAAUGCCCAGUACCUCCA